AAUAUAAGAUGUAAAAGUUGAAAACAGCUGAACGUCGUGACCGCUUUCGGCAGAUCCCUGCAGUGCGUCGUCAUGACGUCGUAACGACCGAUCAACCGCGAGAUGGCCAAGACCAGAAAAACGUCGGGAACGGAGAGAGAGUGGUAUAUUCGGUGCUCUAGCAGCCAGAGCAUAAUGUCGGACAGUAUAAUAGCACACAUUGAUAGAGUAUGGUAUGCUAUAGCGUAGUUGGCAAAUGGCGGUCGCGAAAUGAAUAAUAAUGUGCAGUUGUGGUUUUUGUUAUGUUAAAUAUUGGACGAACGAAGUGUAAGAUGUUAGUGAAGAGUCCUACGUCGGAGAAAAAGCAAAGAAGGAAUAAUGUCAGAAGUGCCAGGAGCGGUGCCGACGAAGCUACCAGAAGCUAUCGUGUCCACCGCGGAAAUACUAGGUCUCCAAAAACAAGUUCGGAACGACUGAAUCUUCAACAUUUUUGGAUAAAAAUUCUACUUUAAACAGAGGCGAAUUUUCAAUCUACCCAAAAUAUUUCAAUUGAUCCGAAUACAUUUUUCGCUAAAGUGUACGCAAUGAUGGUGAAAACGAUUUUUACAGACGUCCAAAGGGUGGCCAACUCAGAAGUCAAACGGAUUAUUUGAAAUUGAAACUGAAAUGAUUCGUGCUACCUAUAAGGUGACCACCCUUUGGACUUGCACUGAAAAACAUGACCCGCGCUCAUACCUCAUGUAAAUAUUUAUACUUCAAAAAGAACGAAUUACAAUUUGUCAUCAGUUAAAAACAAUGUACACAGUUUUUCCAAAAUAAACAAAAAACCGAGUUUUGAAAAA
This 821-nucleotide unclassified non-coding RNA is filed under the name Neodiprion pinetum (white pine sawfly). RNAcentral's name for it is "nuclear factor of activated T-cells 5-like, transcript variant X1". The record is from RNAcentral. Lineage: Eukaryota; Metazoa; Arthropoda; Insecta; Hymenoptera; Diprionidae.